GUACUUACCUAGAGGUGCCAUGGUCAGGAAGGUGGUUUCCAGGGCGAGGCUUACCCAUGGCACCCAGAUGUGCUGACCCCUGCGACUUCCCCAAGUGUGGGAAACUCGACGGCGUGAUUUGUGGUAGUGAGGGACUGCAUUCGCACGCUCCCCUG
Molecule: small nuclear RNA, 155 nt
Organism: Myotis lucifugus (little brown bat)
Lineage: Eukaryota; Metazoa; Chordata; Mammalia; Chiroptera; Vespertilionidae
Gene: U1
Rfam family: U1 spliceosomal RNA
About the family: U1 is a small nuclear RNA (snRNA) component of the spliceosome (involved in pre-mRNA splicing). Its 5' end forms complementary base pairs with the 5' splice junction, thus defining the 5' donor site of an intron. There are significant differences in sequence and secondary structure between metazoan and yeast U1 snRNAs, the latter being much longer (568 nucleotides as compared to 164 nucleotides in human).
Source: Ensembl